ACCCCCUGAGUGCCGAUCCCACCUGUGAAAGGGGAGGAGCAGACGAAGGGAUAUGCCCAGAGGAAAUCAACAAGACCAAAGAGACGUCAGAGUCCUGAUGGCCAAAAUCAGACACCAGCUUUCCUGAGAAGGCAGAAGAGAGAGCCCCACAGAAGCGGUGGGGGCUCAGAAGGUGCCCUUGUUGAGCUGCUUGAGGCAGAAGGCACAGACGAAGUGCUCGGGGUGGAACUUCUUGGCCAUGGCGGUGAUGCAGCGGCCAGUGAUGGGCUUCUGGCAGCCGGAGCACAGCGAGCCGCGCCGCUCGUGGUAGUGCACCUCACAGUAGGGCUGCCCGUCGUGCUCGAAGAAGCUGCCGUUGACGAAUGGCGUGAAGCAUUCCUGCCAGGUGGAGAGAGGGGCUCAGGGGGCUGUCCCUCGGGCUAGAGCAGCACCCAGUAUGAUGGGGCCCAGAUGGGCAUGGUCGGCACACUUGGAGUGACUCCUACUUGCUAGGCAUUUACUAUGUGCCAUGCUGUCCUAAACACUUAUUUUUUAUUUUUAUUUAAAAAAAUUUUUUUGUAGAAA
This is a long non-coding RNA of Mandrillus leucophaeus (drill), 564 nucleotides long. RefSeq lists it as uncharacterized. The transcript is spliced from 2 exons. The record is from RefSeq and is a predicted model, not a curated record. Lineage: Eukaryota; Metazoa; Chordata; Mammalia; Primates; Cercopithecidae.